CGGGACGGGGUGAGUAAUGUCUGGGAAACUGCCUGAUGGAGGGGGGUAACUACUGGAAACGGUAGCUAAUACCGCAUAACGUCGCAAGACCAAAGAGGGGGACCUUCGGGCCUCUUGCCAUCGGAUGUGCCCAGAUGGGAUUAGCUAGUAGGUGGGGUAACGGCUCACCUAGGCGACGAUCCCUAGCUGGUCUGAGAGGAUGCCAGCCACACUGGAACUGAGACACGGUCCAG
RNAcentral lists this ribosomal RNA (233 nucleotides) under uncultured bacterium. Its description in RNAcentral is "partial 16S ribosomal RNA". It matches the Rfam family "Bacterial small subunit ribosomal RNA", at positions 104 to 334 of the family's 1533-position model. The record is from RNAcentral.